CCGAGUUUACAACUCCCAAACCCCUGUGAACAUACCAAUUGUUGCCUCGGCGGAUCAGCCCGCUCCCGGUAAAACGGGACGGCCCGCCAGAGGACCCCUAAACUCUGUUUCUAUAUGUAACUUCUGAGUAAAACCAUAAAUAAAUCA
RNAcentral lists this unclassified non-coding RNA (147 nucleotides) under soil metagenome. RNAcentral's name for it is "partial internal transcribed spacer 1". The record is from RNAcentral. RNAcentral also lists the same sequence under 1 other name.